This 1015-nucleotide ribosomal RNA is filed under the name Leuconostoc mesenteroides. Its description in RNAcentral is "bacterial SSU rRNA". It matches the Rfam family "Bacterial small subunit ribosomal RNA", at positions 452 to 1472 of the family's 1533-position model. The record is from RNAcentral. Lineage: Bacteria; Bacillati; Bacillota; Bacilli; Lactobacillales; Lactobacillaceae.
AUAAGCAAUGAUUUAGUUGACGUUACAAACAGAAAGGGACGCUAAAUACGUGCAGCAGCGCGGUUAAUACGUAUGUCCGAGCGUAUCCGGAUUAUUGGGCGUAAAGCGAGCGCAGACGGUUUAUAAGUCUGAUGUGAAAGCUCAGGAGCUCAACUCCGGAAUGGCAUUGGAAACUGGUUAACUUGAGUGCAGUAGAGGUAAGUGGAACUCCAUGUGUAGCGGUGGAAUGCGUAGAUAUAUGGAAGAACAUCAGUGGCGAAGGCGGCUUACUGGACUGCAACUGACGUUGAGGCUCGAAAGUGUGGGUAGCAAACAGGAUUAGAUACCCUGGUAGUCCACACCGUAAACGAUGAACACUAGGUGUUAGGAGGUUUCCGCCUCUUAGUGCCGAAGCUAACGCAUUAAGUGUUCCGCCUGGGGAGUACGACCGCAAGGUUGAAACUCAAAGGAAUUGACGGGGACCCGCACAAGCGGUGGAGCAUGUGGUUUAAUUCGAAGCAACGCGAAGAACCUUACCAGGUCUUGACAUCCUUUGAAGCUUUUAGAGAUAGAAGUGUUCUCUUCGGAGACAAAGUGACAGGUGGUGCAUGGUCGUCGUCAGCUCGUGUCGUGAGAUGUUGGGUUAAGUCCCGCAACGAGCGCAACCCUUAUUGUUAGUUGCCAGCAUUCAGAUGGGCACUCUAGCGAGACUGCCGGUGACAAACCGGAGGAAGGCGGGGACGACGUCAGAUCAUCAUGCCCCUUAUGACCUGGGCUACACACGUGCUACAAUGGCGUAUACAACGAGUUGCCAACCCGCGAGGGUGAGCUAAUCUCUUAAAGUACGUCUCAGUUCGGAUUGUAGUCUGCAACUCGACUACAUGAAGUCGGAAUCGCUAGUAAUCGCGGAUCAGCACGCCGCGGUGAAUACGUUCCCGGGUCUUGUACACACCGCCCGUCACACCAUGGGAGUUUGUAAUGCCCAAAGCCGGUGGCCUAACCUUUUUGAAGAGAAUAAACGUGUGCAUUUGAAAAU